GCCAGCAGCCAUAUCACCCAGUAACUCACAACUGGGAACCCACUGAAGCUAAGCAGGUGUGAGCCUGGUUAGGACCUGGAUGGGAGACCUCCUGGGAAAAACUAAGGUUGCUGCUGGAA
This 119-nucleotide ribosomal RNA is filed under the name Lepisosteus oculatus (spotted gar). The record is from RNAcentral. Lineage: Eukaryota; Metazoa; Chordata; Actinopteri; Semionotiformes; Lepisosteidae.